This 432-nucleotide ribosomal RNA is filed under the name uncultured soil bacterium. RNAcentral describes it as "bacterial SSU rRNA". It matches the Rfam family "Bacterial small subunit ribosomal RNA", at positions 957 to 1393 of the family's 1533-position model. The record is from RNAcentral.
UAACGCGAAGAACCUUACCUACCCUUGACAUGUCCGGAAUCCUGCAGAGAUGCGGGAGUGCCCGAAAGGGAAUCGGAACACAGGUGCUGCAUGGCUGUCGUCAGCUCGUGUCGUGAGAUGUUGGGUUAAGUCCCGCAACGAGCGCAACCCUUAUCAUUAGUUGCUACGCAAGGGCACUCUAAUGAGACUGCCGGUGACAAACCGGAGGAAGGUGGGGAUGACGUCAAGUCCUCAUGGCCCUUAUGGGUAGGGCUUCACACGUCAUACAAUGGUCGGUACAGAGGGUUGCCAAGCCGCGAGGUGGAGCCAAUCCCAGAAAGCCGAUCGUAGUCCGGAUUGUUCUCUGCAACUCGAGAGCAUGAAGUCGGAAUCGCUAGUGAUCGCGGAUCAGCAUGUCGCGGUGAAUACGUUCCCGGGUCUUGUACACACCGA